AUAGCGUAUAUUAAAGUUGUUGCAGUUAAAAAGCUCGUAGUUGGAUUUCGGCGUGCGCUCAGGCUGGUCGGCCGUCAUGGUCUGUACCGUUUGGGUCACGCCCCACUGUAGGAUACUCACCGCUGUCCUUAACUGGGUGGCGGUCAAAGGUUGCAGUGCAUGGGGGCAACUCUGUCGCUGCCGCUGGGGUUCCUACUCUUUUACUUUGAGCAAAUUAGAGUGUUCAAAGCAGGCAAUCGAGCCUUGAAUACUUCAGCAUGGGAUAAUGGAACAGGACUGGGAUCCUGAUUUCGUUGGUUUCUAGGGUCUUAGUAAUGAUUAAUAGGGAUAGUUGGGGGCAUUAGUAUUUAAUUGUCAGAGGUGAAAUUCUUGGAUUUAUGAAAGACUAACUUCUG
This 395-nucleotide ribosomal RNA is filed under the name Mycamoeba gemmipara. RNAcentral describes it as "SSU rRNA". It matches the Rfam family "Eukaryotic small subunit ribosomal RNA", at positions 594 to 945 of the family's 1831-position model. Lineage: Eukaryota; Discosea; Flabellinia. The record is from RNAcentral.